RNAcentral lists this ribosomal RNA (497 nucleotides) under uncultured bacterium. RNAcentral's name for it is "partial 16S ribosomal RNA". It matches the Rfam family "Bacterial small subunit ribosomal RNA", at positions 28 to 507 of the family's 1533-position model. The record is from RNAcentral.
GAUGAACGCUGGCGGCGUGCCUAAUACAUGCAAGUCGAGCGAACGGACGAGAAGCUUGCUUCUCUGAUGUUAGCGGCGGACGGGUGAGUAACACGUGGAUAACCUACCUAUAAGACUGGGAUAACUUCGGGAAACCGGAGCUAAUACCGGAUGAUAUUUUGAACCGCAUGGUUCAAAAGUGAAAGACGGUCUUGCUGUCACUUAUAGAUGGAUCCCCGCUGCAUUAGCUAGUUGGUAAGGUAACGGCUUACCAAGGCAACGAUGCAUAGCCGACCUGAGAGGGUGAUCGGCCACACUGGAACUGAGACACGGUCCAGACUCCUACGGGAGGCAGCAGUAGGGAAUCUUCCGCAAAGGGCGAAAGCCUGACGGAGCAACGCCGCGUGAGUGAUGAAGGUCUUCGGAUCGUAAAACUCUGUUAUUAGGGAAGAACAUAUGUGUAAGUAACUGUGCACAUCUUGACGGUACCUAAUCAGAAAGCCACGGCUAACUACGUG